Molecule: long non-coding RNA, 2190 nt
Filed under: Pan troglodytes (chimpanzee)
Lineage: Eukaryota; Metazoa; Chordata; Mammalia; Primates; Hominidae
Description: lincRNA
Source: RNAcentral
AUUGUGAACUGUGCAUGUAAGGGAUGUAGGUUGUACACUAUUUAUGAGAAUCUAAUGCCUUAGGAUCUGUCACUGCCUCUCAUCACCCCCAGGUGGGAACAUUUAGUUGCAGGAAAACAAUCCCAGUGCUCUCACUGAUUCUACAAUAUGCAUUGUUACUGUAAGCAAAUAGGUGUGAGACCCCAAGCCAGGAGAGACCCAUGACCUCAGGUGCCAUCAGGAGAACUUAAACCUGAAGAAGGGAUCAGCUCUCCCACAACCCAGUGCCCCUCCCAGACAGCACAACAGAAUCUAAGGGGCUACAGGACGAUUCCAGGAACAGUGCACUACAGGACCACAUUGCAGGAAUCGUGCCUUGGAUUCACCACAGUUGGCUGAAACUGGUAGCCCAGGACAAGUGGACCAGCCAGCAGGACCCAGGCCAUCCAACCCAGCUGAUCCUAUGAUGGGACCGAGGUGCCAAUGAAGACUACAACAGCCCUGCUCUGGUCACUUCGGAAGCUGACCAGUCUACACACGGCGGAAGCUUGAGGAAACAACAGCCCUGCUCUAGUCACCCCAGAAGCUGACUCGUCUAUGUACGGCCAAAGCUCAAGGCAUCAUCAGGAAAGUAAAAGUGGUUAGAAAUCUUACGUCUGGAAACUUUCCUUGUAAUAUUAAUUGUUUUACUAUUGUCCUGUUGCUUUGCUCAACCUCCUCCUCUAGGAAAGGACCUCUUCUCUCCAUGCUAGGUAUAAAUAUGUUAUUCAUUACUUUUGCUAUUCCCCUUAACCAUGUUAAAGGGAGAAUCCUUAGAAGGAUGCCCCCACUGCACUGACAAUACGUAGACAGGAAACACCAUGACUAGAACCCUGUUCUACCACUUAUUAUAGGUAUGCAGGGACCCAUUGAGGAACUUGUACACACAACCAGAUAACCUACUCAAUCUGCAACCCAGGAAGUGGCCAGCCUUAUAUAUGUUAUGACCCAAAGUCCUUACCUAGAACCUAGUUGGAGGUUCAUGUCAGGUCAAAAGAAAUAAAAGGAGAAUAACCAUAAAGAAUUAAAGAUAAUGAAUGGCCACCUGAAAGAAUAAUGCAAUACUAUGGCCCAGCCACAUGGGCAGAUGGAUCAUGGAGAUACCACACCCCUAUUUACAUGCUAAAUCACAUCAUAUGGUUGCAGGCAGUACUGGAGAUCAUUACAAAUGAUACUGCAAGAGCCUUAAAUUUGCUGGCUCGGAAAUCUACAGAAAUGAGAAAUGCCGUUUAUCAAAAUAGACUGGCUUUAGACUACCUCCUAGCCAAAGAGGGAGGAGUAUGUAGAAAGUUCAGCCUAACUAAUUGCUGUCUAAAAAUCGAUGACAAUGGAAAGGUCGUCAAACAAAAAGCUGCAAGAAUUCAAAAAUUAGCCCAUAUUCCAGUCAAGACUUGGAAAGGAUGGUCUCCAGAUUCCCUCUUCAGGGGUUAGUUCUCAUCCCUUGGAGAAUUUAAAACCUUAGUAAGAAUAGUUCUAGCCAUAUUAGGAGUCUGCCUCAUACUCCCUUGUCUCUUACCCCUCCUUGUCAAAAACAUCUAAACGGCCACAGAGGCUCUUGUAACCAGGCAAACUACUACACAACUAAUGGCCCUAACUAAAUAUCAGCCUUUGCCAAAUGAAGAAAACUUGCCUUUUCAUGAAAAAUUAAGUCAUAGUGAUGCUUUCUAUUAAACGUCAUUUAUAAAAAGCAUCAAAAGGGAAAAUGAAGUAGAGGAUGUAAAGAAAACUAGUCCUUAUCCCCUCUCCUCCCUUAGAGCAAUGAUGGGAAAAACAAUUUUUCCUCCUCUCCUAGCUUCCUCCUCCCCUUAGUAAUCCUUCCUUAGUGAAACUCAAGGUUACUUCACAACAACUCCGGUUUCUCUGUUCUGGAUAACAUGACAAGGUCACAAGUCGAGCUUGAGUAAGACAUGUACCAGCUGCAAGGCCUGCUUUAGUUUGAUAAAUUCAUGUUUCCCUUCCAAUGAAGCUGCAAGGUCAGCAUAACCUGUCACUGUUUGAUUAACUGCCUCUGUUCUGCUUCUGUGAGCCUGCUUACUUGCACCACGAGCUUUGCGCCACUAGAUGGCCCAUGCAUGUAUAAAAGACAAGCCCUGUCUUAGUCCAGGGCUCAGCUUUUUGGAUGCGAAUCCAUUGUGCCAGGGUGCACCUUAAUAAAAUCCUCCAGUUUCACCU